CGCAGCCGCGGUAAUUCCAGCUCCAAUAGCGUAUAUUAAAGUUGUUGCAGUUAAAAGCUCGUAGUUGAAUUUCGGGAUCAAUUUAUUGGUCGUGCAAUAGUACGUACUGGUAUUAUUGGUUCCUACCUUCUGAUGAACCAUGAUGUCAUUAAUUUGGUGUUAUGGGGAAUCAGGACUGUUACUUUGAAAAAUUAGAGUGUUUAAAGCAGGCUCACGCUUGAAUACAUUAGCAUGGAAUAAUGAAAUAGGACGUUUGAUUCUAUUUUGUUGGUUUUCUAGGAUCGACGUAAUGAUUAAUAGGGAUAGUUGGGGGCAUUAGUAUUCAAUUGUCAGAGGUGAAAUUCUUGGAUUUAUUGAAGACUAACUACUGCGAAAGCAUUUGCCAAGGAUGUUUUCAUUAAUCAAGAACGAAAGUUAGGGAUCGAAGACGAUCAGAUACCGUCGUAGUCU
Molecule: ribosomal RNA, 450 nt
Filed under: uncultured Glomeromycotina
Lineage: Eukaryota; Fungi; Glomeromycota
Description: SSU rRNA
Rfam family: Eukaryotic small subunit ribosomal RNA
Source: RNAcentral